Cajanus cajan (pigeon pea) is the source of this 3944-nucleotide non-coding RNA. The record is from RefSeq and is a predicted model, not a curated record. NCBI's taxonomy places the organism in Eukaryota, Viridiplantae, Streptophyta, Magnoliopsida, Fabales, Fabaceae.
AAUUUCCAAUUUAUUUUUUUUGUUUUUUUCCUGGAAAGAUCAAUGUCUCAGUUCUUCAACUUUCUCUCCCACCUAUAAUGGGGUCUUGUUGAAUGAUCGACCAAUACAAAUAUCUCAGUGUUUGAAGCAAAGUUUGAGAAGAAAGGUACAAGCUUUCCAACUCUCAAGGCGAAGGUAAGUGAAGGGUAUGGCACAGUUCACUACGCAGGGUCGCCUCAAGCUUCUCUUCAAUGGGGAGGGCGUGUCUUCUAUUUUGGAGCACAAGGACCCUUUUCUCUACAAGUGCAGAUCAGUUCAGACCCACAAGAGAAGAACAAGGUACAUAGGUUCUUUUUCUGCUAGAAUAUACUAUGCAUCAUCUCUGAGUAGCAAAACCAACCGUUGUAAUGCGGAGGCACGCCCCAGUGGUGGCAAUGGGAGUGUUCAUGAUGAAUAUGAUGUUGAUGAAGAUGAGGAUGAUGAUGAUGAUGAUGAUGUUGAAGUUUAUGAGGAUGAGGAGGAUUUGUUUGACCGAGAUGGCUUGUCUUGCUUCCGGGGUUUGGUGUUAGACAUUGCUUACAGGCCAGUAAAUGUCGUAGGCUGGAAACGUGCUAUAUGUUUGGAGUUUAUGGAGAAGGCUGAUGUACUGGAGUAUUAUGCUAAGACAGUGAACUCCCCCAGUGGAUCUUUCUAUAUACCAGCUGUCUUGAGGGUUCCUCAUUUACUUCAGGUUGUUAAAAGAAGAAUAGUAAAAAACAAUCUCAGUCGGAAAAAUAUACUAUUUCGGGACAAUUACACCUGUCAGUAUUGCUGUUCACGUGAGAAUUUGACCAUUGAUCACGUUUUGCCCGCUGCACUAGGUGGAGAAUGGACAUGGGAAAAUCUAGUGCUUUCCAGUGGCUGUUUUUCUCGAUCCAUUCUCUGUUCAUUUCAUUGUUUGCUAUUCUCUUUGGAUAGUGAGUUAUUGGUCCCGUCAUUGUUCAAGUCUUGAUUGUUCAUGUAUGUCCUUGUUAUGUCUAUUCUGCUGCUCCUAUUUCAUUACAAUUGUUGACUACAUCCUAACCACUUUCGGGCCAACCUUUGAUUCCUUCAACGUUCUGUUAGAUAAUGAAUAGAAGGAAUGCUUUCAAUUUAAAGCAGCCUGAUCAAGAUUAUAUUCAAUUGCUGUAGUCUGUACAGUGAUGGUUCAAAGGCUAAAACCAUUGGAAUUGGUCAAGCUGUACCUCUUCUCUCACUGACUUGGGAUAUGCUUUGUUUUGCUCUAAGUUGCCCUAUGAACUUAAUUUCUGUAAGUCAACUUACUAAAAGUCUCUAUAACCUUUUUUACUGAGUCUUUUUCAUAUGCAGAAUUGGAGAACUAGAAAGACAAUUGGUAUAGUUUUUGAAUCACACAGAUUCUACUAUCUUCAACCUCCACCAUCUACUAUAGGGGCUAUUUUAAAUCUCCUAACCUUCACGGUUGUUUAGGUUGCCUAAAGUAUAAAAUUUAAAAAGAUGUUUCCUCAUCUCUCCCAUUUACAAUAUUUUGAAUGUGAGUCUUGUCAGCUUGGGAAACAUGUUUUGGCUACUUUCCGAAGAAAGGAUGAUAAUCAGUUAGAUCCUCCCUCUUAUAUUGUUCAUUCAAUUGGUUGGGGUCCUAAUUUUGUUAAUUAUAUUAUUAUAGGUAUUUUCUUUCAUUGAUGAUUUCUCAAGAUGAAUUUGGAUAUUUUUAAUGAAAAAUCAUUCUGAAAUAAUUGGUUUUUUCAAUAUUUGUGUUCUAAUAUUCAUUCCCAAUUUGAUUGAACUAUGCAUAUUUUAUUUAGUGACAAUUCAAUAGUAUUGUUCUUCGUCUUUAAUUCUUUUAUGUCUUUCUAUAGUAUUUUAUGUCCUAAUUCAUCCCAAAAAAAUGGCAUUGCAAAAAGAAAACCGUCACCUACCUGACAUUCCUCUGUUUUUGGGGCGGGGCGUUAUUCUUUUACCAAUUGAUUUGAUAAAUUGCAUUCUGUCUUUGGUUUAAAUGACCAAAUUGCUCAUUCUUUCUUGUUUCCAAAUAAUCUCUUUAUAAAAUUCAUCCUGUGUUUGGUUGUACUUUAGUGCAUGAUCUUUCUCUAGGUAAAGAUAUGUUAUUUUAUAUGCUUGUGUUGUGCUACCAAAUGCAUCUUCUUUUUUAGUAUCUCAAGUGCAUUAUACAUGUCUAAUCUUACUCUUCUACAAAUCAUUUCUUCAUUUAUGCUAGUGUCACCUAUGUUGAAGACACACCCUUCUUCUCUAUAUAGGUGGAACUAGAUUCAAUUUCUCUAAAGUCUUACCUGAACAAUCCAAUUGUUAAUCCUCAUAUUGUAUCCUUAGAAUCAAUAACUUCUUUCCAACCACAAUAGUUUUUUUCUUGCUAACUUGUUAGUUGUUACUUAUCAGUUUUGUCCACGUCAUAUGCUCUAGAAGUUGACCUUGUUCUGGAGGUGAAUGAUUCAUCUCUUGCUUUUGUAUCUUCACCUACUGCAGUCCCUCCCAAAUCUCCCUUAGACUUGUUGCAGUUUUAAAUGUAUUCAUUCUUCUUGUAAUCCUCAUCCCAUUUAUAAUUUCUUGAUUAUUGUUGUUUGUCUCUAUCACGUUAUGCUUUUACCAUUGCAUUGUGGUGUAUUUCUAUUCGUAAAUCUAUCUAGGAAGCACUUUCUCAUAGGGAUGAAUAAGGGACUGGUUUACACUUGUCAUUACCCGACCUGAUUUUAUGAUUGGGCCAUUUUUCUAAACCCAAUCAAGACCUGAAAUAUAUGGGACAAGAUAGAAUUAAUCUGACUUUUCUACAUCAAUAUUAACAUUAUGUAUAGUUAAAUUGUAGAAUAAAUUAUAUCAAACUUAAUUAAGAUAUAUUUUACAAUAUAUAUUUGAAAAUAAACAACAUAAUUAUAAAUAUAAUGUCAUGUUAUACAAAAUAUUAUUUAUUAAAUCAAAGAGUCUUAUUAAUAGUUAAAAAAAAUUUACUUUUUAAUAGAAUAUAGGAUAUCAAAUGAUGACCCAUAGCAUAACCCUAACCUGAACUCAUUAUGAAAAUACAUUGAGUCUAAAUUCAAGACCUGAAUCCAUCGAAAUCAAUCUCGAGUUGGAUCGGGUUAGUUGGCCAGAUUGUGUCAUGCUCACCCCUAUUUUCUUAUACAGGAUAGUGAUAGAAUGAUUGAUGAGAUGAUGACCAUAGAAUCAAAUCAUACAUGGAGAUUGGCUCCCUAUCCUCUAGGGAAAUUUGGAAAUCUAUGGUUGGUUGUCAAUGGGUUCUAUAAAGAUAUUAAUACUUUCUUCGAAUGUAAGAUUGAGUCUAACUCAACUUUACAAAAUCAAUUUAUAAAGUGAGAAUUGUCCAGAACUAUUGAGGUUGGUGCAUGGAUAAUAUGGUAAGUGCCCAUUAAUGGAUCUAUGAUGGACUCUAAUACUAUAUCAGGAUUUCAGAUUGUAGAGGCAAAAGGUGAAAAAACCCAUUAAUCUCAAUGAAUGGUACAACUUACUUUAACACGAGUACCCGUAACUAACUUUGACAUCUGUCAGUAGAAUUAAUAGAUGUAGCUAUUAAUAUACUAAUAGAUUCUCUUCUCACUUUCAAAGUAGGUCCUGAUGAAAAGGUGAUCAUUUGUAAGCUCGUUUGGUUGUUGAUGGCUAUACUUGGAUUUUCAGCACUCAUUAUGGAGACAUUUUCUCCCCUAUUAUUAAAAAAUGGCUUUUGUUCAGCUUUUCUUAUCCAUAGAAGCUACAUAUUGCGGACCUCUAUAUCAGUUGGAUAUCGAGAAUGCCUUUGGACAUAGUAGCUUAGUUAAAGAGGUUUAUAUGGAGUAGCUUUCAGGGUUUGUAGCUCAAGGGAGGGGAGUCCGGAUUAGUUUGUAAAUUGCAUGUCCUAGUUUGGCCUCAAGAAGUAUUUCUGUACACAAAAUAGCUAAAGAUAAAUUUAAUGAAGAUGAUAAAAUGAGUGACUCAUUGGUUGCCAUUUGUUUCUUCUUGGA